Molecule: transfer RNA, 70 nt
Filed under: Hofstenia miamia
Lineage: Eukaryota; Metazoa; Xenacoelomorpha; Acoela; Hofsteniidae
Description: tRNA-Lys for anticodon CUU
Rfam family: tRNA
About the family: Transfer RNA (tRNA) molecules are approximately 80 nucleotides in length. Their secondary structure includes four short double-helical elements and three loops (D, anti-codon, and T loops). Further hydrogen bonds mediate the characteristic L-shaped molecular structure. tRNAs have two regions of fundamental functional importance: the anti-codon, which is responsible for specific mRNA codon recognition, and the 3' end, to which the tRNAs corresponding amino acid is attached (by aminoacyl-tRNA synthetases). tRNAs cope with the degeneracy of the genetic code in two manners: having more than one tRNA (with a specific anti-codon) for a particular amino acid; and 'wobble' base-pairing, i.e. permitting non-standard base-pairing at the 3rd anti-codon position.
Source: RNAcentral
UGAACAGUGGUGAAAGGAUAACACACUCAUUCUUAAUGAGAGAUUGCUGGUUUGAGUCCAGCCUGUUCAA